Long non-coding RNA from Gasterosteus aculeatus aculeatus (three-spined stickleback), 1425 nucleotides. The record is from Ensembl. NCBI's taxonomy places the organism in Eukaryota, Metazoa, Chordata, Actinopteri, Perciformes, Gasterosteidae.
GCCUAAGGUGGAGCCGUCAGCAGAGCGAGUCCUUUUGCAGAGACGGAAUCAUGCAGGGAAACGCAUCUUCGCCUCUGAACUCAACCUCCCUCCCGACGCCACUCCCUCCCAACACCACCGCUGACAUCAACGCCACAGUGAAACCGUUCAGUGUGUUUGAAGGGUGCGAGCAUCAGGUUGAAGGCAUUCUCUUUGACCUGACCGUGCAGAGCAUCAACGUACUCGUGGGAAUCCCCGCCAACUUAGCGGCCCUCGUGAUCCUCAUCCGCAGCCGUAAGAACCCCUCAACUUCUGACAUCUUCUUGGGCUGCCUUGCUUUCAUGGAUUUCUACUUUGGUACCAUGACCCCCUUCAGCUUCCUAAACUUGUACUACUGGCACAGCAAAGCGGUGUGGUUCGCCCUUAAGUUCUCCUAUGGGGUGAAAGACACAAGUGGGCCACUGUUUCUGUCCUGCAUUUGCCUCGAUCGCUUUGUGGCUGUGAUCUUUCCAGUCCAGUUCGGCCAGUUCAAACCCAUCAAGUACAGAUUAAGCCUCUCUGUGCUGGUGUUGUGCCUCACCUUUGCAUACUCUGCAGCCAAAACUGUGGGAGGCCUUCCCAACUUUGAGAAGGUAUUCACCGUUCAGAUCCUGGUAGCAUUUAGUUGGAUGAUGUUGUGCAAUGUGUGCGUCCUGUGGGCCCUGAAGAAGUCCCGCGGUGCAGGGAAAGACGAGAUGCACCCCAUGAAGAAGAAGGCCUUCAAGACGGUGCUGUCUCUCCUUUGUAUCAUUGUGUUUAACUACCUGCCACCUGUAGCACUGUUCCCUUUUCAAGACCACUAUUCCCCUGAGGUGUUUCGCUGCUAUGUGCAGCCUGUGGGCUUCGCUUUUGUCAACAUCAGCAGCACGAUCCAGCCGAUUGUUUAUCUGUCCCGGCUGGAGAAGCUGCCUUUCCUGCCGAACACCUGCGUCCAAAAGUGCUGCAACUGUUUGUCUGCAAAGAAACACAAAAUCUCACCAGCACAAAUCUCAUCUACUUAAGUUCAAGAAUAUAUAUGUAUAUCAAUGGUGGUGGACGUUCAGUUUAGCAGAAGAGCUGCGUGAGAAAUACGCUGAUGCAAUGCAACUGUACAUUCAUGUUUCCUUUUUGUGACUUGUUUUUCAUCUCUUGUGCAUUUGUUUUCCAAAUAAUGAAUAUAAAAACAUCAAAAGUCAACGAGUGAAAAAUCCCCAUUUUAAUUCAAUAUCUUCAUGAACAGAUGAUGUUCAUGGAGAUUCAUUUGUACAAACGGUAUUUGGUUUUGAUGUUUUCAAAGUGGUCUAAUAAAAACCUUCCUUUACAAUUCUUGUUUGGCUUUGGCGCCAUCGUGUGUACAACACAGAAAAACACUGAGCUAUACAGUAUCAUUGGCCCAACUAUGGUAGUUACACAAUAAAUAUAAACCAG